AUUAAUAAGCGGAGGAAAAGAAACUAACAAGGAUUCCCCCAGUAACGGCGAGUGAAGCGGGAACAGCUCAAAUUUGAAAUCUCCGGUGCUUGCACCGGCGAGUUGUAGUUGCGAGAAGCACUUUCUAGGCGGAUCGGUCGUGCCUAAGUUGCUUGGAACAGCAUGUCGCAGAGGGUGACAACCCCGUCUGUGGCGCGACCGGCCGCUGACGAUGUGCUUUCGAAGAGUCGGGUUGUUUGGGAAUGCAGCCCAAAAUGGGUGGUAAACUCCAUCUAAAGCUAAAUACUGGCGUGAGACCGAUAGCGAACAAGUACCGUGAGGGAAAGAUGAAAAGAACUUUGAAAAGAGAGUUAAAAAGUACGUGAAACCGUUGAAAGGGAAACGAAUGGACUCAGCAAUGCGCCGUUUGAGAUUCAGCCGGCGGGCGGGAUCGGCGCGGGGUUUGCGGAUCUGAAUGGACCGCGGCUUCGCGCUCGUUUCUCCUCGCCGUCGCACUUCUCUUGGGCGCGCGUCAACGUCGGUUGGGACUGGGUUUGAAAGGUGCCGGGAAGGUAGGUCUGGACCUUCGGGUUCGGUCUGUUACAGCCCGGUUCUCUCAUGGCUCGGGCCUGACCGAGGAGUCGCAGCGCAUGCCUCUUGUGGCUAGGGUGCCGUCCUUCCGGCCGGUUGUCGAACGUGGUGGACUGCUUGCAGUGCUCCGCGACUGCUGCCGGUCGUUGGGGUGGUGAUCUCGUACCAUGCGCUUGGGACGUUGGCGG
This 758-nucleotide ribosomal RNA is filed under the name Polycyathus muellerae. RNAcentral describes it as "partial large subunit ribosomal RNA". It matches the Rfam family "Eukaryotic large subunit ribosomal RNA", at positions 42 to 632 of the family's 3401-position model. Lineage: Eukaryota; Metazoa; Cnidaria; Anthozoa; Scleractinia; Caryophylliidae. The record is from RNAcentral.